GUGAUCCUUAUCUCACUACAAAUGACAUUUUGCUUGGUACUGUGGACAGACCAAAAGCUGCACAGCCCUUGUAUGCUGCCCUUGAUGACCUAUACUCCAGUCUGAGGUGUUAGUUGCCAGGCUCUAUGAUUGUGGCAUGUCUCUGUUGGAUGGUAAGUCUCUAUCCAAUCUAAUGUUUCUCUGUGCAUGUGCCAUGUCUCUGUCAGCUGUUGAGAUGAGCACUUGCUCCUGAACUUGAUUCUCCCUCUCUGAAUUGUAUAGUGGCCCUAAAUUUAUUGGGUGUAUGCCCACACAAAGGGACGACAGUUUCACGUUCGUUUAUUAUGAGCUCUCAUUCAAUUUGGUUAAUGUGCUUUUGCAAAUGUCACGAUGUAAAUAGAUAAUUGUAUAAUACCCAAUUAUUGGGAUUUGAAAAUAUAUAGAUUAUUUGGAUGAUGAUCAACUUGACUUUUG
This 453-nucleotide unclassified non-coding RNA is filed under the name Hevea brasiliensis (rubber tree). Lineage: Eukaryota; Viridiplantae; Streptophyta; Magnoliopsida; Malpighiales; Euphorbiaceae. The record is from RNAcentral.